GGUGGAGCAGCUUGGUAGCUCGUCGGGCUCAUAACCCGAAGGUCGUUGGUUCAAAUCCAGCCCCCGCAACCA
Molecule: transfer RNA, 72 nt
Filed under: Providencia rettgeri
Lineage: Bacteria; Pseudomonadati; Pseudomonadota; Gammaproteobacteria; Enterobacterales; Morganellaceae
Also listed under: 1 other name
Description: tRNA-fMet(cat)
Rfam family: tRNA
About the family: Transfer RNA (tRNA) molecules are approximately 80 nucleotides in length. Their secondary structure includes four short double-helical elements and three loops (D, anti-codon, and T loops). Further hydrogen bonds mediate the characteristic L-shaped molecular structure. tRNAs have two regions of fundamental functional importance: the anti-codon, which is responsible for specific mRNA codon recognition, and the 3' end, to which the tRNAs corresponding amino acid is attached (by aminoacyl-tRNA synthetases). tRNAs cope with the degeneracy of the genetic code in two manners: having more than one tRNA (with a specific anti-codon) for a particular amino acid; and 'wobble' base-pairing, i.e. permitting non-standard base-pairing at the 3rd anti-codon position.
Source: RNAcentral